This 253-nucleotide ribosomal RNA is filed under the name uncultured bacterium. RNAcentral's name for it is "partial 16S ribosomal RNA". It matches the Rfam family "Bacterial small subunit ribosomal RNA", at positions 524 to 776 of the family's 1533-position model. The record is from RNAcentral.
UACAGAGGGUGCGAGCGUUAAUCGGAAUUACUGGGCGUAAAGCGUGCGUAGACGGUCAAGUAAGUCGGGUGUGAAAGCCCCGGGCUCAACCUGGGAAUUGCAUUCGAGACUGCGUGGCUAGGGUGCGGAAGAGGGAAGCGGAAUUUCCGGUGUAGCGGUGAAAUGCGUAGAGAUCGGGAGGAACAUCUGUGGCGAAGGCGGCCACCUGGACCAACACUGACACUGAGGCACGAAAGCGUGGGGAGCAAACAGG